UGACCUCGGAUCAGGUAGGGAUACU
This 25-nucleotide ribosomal RNA is filed under the name Cookeina cremeirosea. RNAcentral describes it as "partial large subunit ribosomal RNA". Lineage: Eukaryota; Fungi; Ascomycota; Pezizomycetes; Pezizales; Sarcoscyphaceae. The record is from RNAcentral.